This 491-nucleotide ribosomal RNA is filed under the name uncultured bacterium. RNAcentral describes it as "partial 16S ribosomal RNA". It matches the Rfam family "Bacterial small subunit ribosomal RNA", at positions 28 to 507 of the family's 1533-position model. The record is from RNAcentral.
GAUGAACGCUAGCUACAGGCUUAACACAUGCAAGUCGCGGGGCAGCAUGGGGGUUGCUUGCAACCCCUGAUGGCGACCGGCGCACGGGUGAGUAACGCGUAUCCAACCUGCCCUUCACCACGGGAUAACCCGGCGAAAGUCGGACUAAUACCGUAUGUUGUCCAUUGACGGCAUCCGAUUUGGACGAAAUGCUUGUCGGUGAAAGGAUGGGGAUGCGUCCGCUUAGCUUGACGGCUGGGUAACGGCCCACCGUGGCUACGAUCGGUAGGCGUUCUGAGAGGAAGGUCCCCCACACUGGAGCUGAGACACGGACCAGAAUCCUACGGGAGGCAGCAGUGAGGAAUAUUGGUCAAUGGGCGUAAGCCUGAACCAGCCAAGUAGCGUGCAGGAUGACGGCCCUAUGGGUUGUAAACUGCUUUUAUGCGGGGAUAAAGUGGCCCACGUGUGGGCUUUUGCAGGUACCGCAUGAAUAAGGACCGGCUAAUUCCGUG